CCGGUCGAGGUAGAGGGGCCGACCCAGUGUGUAUGUGUAUAUAGAAAUUGUACAUAUCUGUUUGCCCCACUAGAGUUGCUAGGCUCGUUGUUUGAAGUUUGUCUAGGCUUCUGAAAUCUAGGGCCGACACUGAGAAACCCAAAAUGUUCUGGCAGUUCCUUUUUCUCUUCCUAAAAAAACUCAAAACCAAUUGAAUUUGGGUAAAACUAUGCACUUAAGGAUUAAUCAAGCGACUAAGGAAAUUUUUUAGCAAAAAAGCGACCAUGGAAUAUAUAGUAGAUUUCGCUUGUAUACAAAUUCUUAGCCCAACCAGCAAAUCAAACACAUGGGCUCUCCUACUCGAGAAAACCAUGGGCGGUCCAGCCCAAUACGAUCGCUGAAACCAGCUUAGCCCAGUGACAUGGUAUAGGGCAAUCACGUGGUAAGAAGACUGUAAAAAUAUUUCCCUAAAAAAGAACUUUGUGGAAAUGUGAGAUAAUGUGGAGACAACAGAGGAUCAAGAAUUCCGAAGAUGGCCCCGAAAAAAGAAACGAAGCUGGUUUCUGGGUUUGUGCACCGCGGCAGAUGGGUAUCACGUCAUAUUUGCCACGGGAAUCAUAACGGGUGAACAUCAGUUGGGCGAGAUGCAGGGGCAGCCGUUUGAUCUGCAGUGGCUUAUACUGUAUUUGCCAUGUGGCCCCACAUUUUUUCUUUCUUUUUUUUGCCACUAGCAUGGUGGCCGCUAGACCUCAUGAUUGUUGUUAUAUUUUUUUUUACGUGUACUGAUGACUUUUUUAUUUUACAUCUCUUUUUAUUCCCGGCCAUAUUGGUAUAUUCUUUCUGGUUGGGUUUAUAUGGCGCGCACCAAAAUUUAUAAGGGACUUUGGCAAAAUAUUACUUGAUAAUACGACGUUAUUGCAACACAAAAGAGAUAUCGUUGUAUUCGUAUUGGAAAACUCAAUCAAUAGAAACGUUUAUAUACCUACAUCUUUUUUAUAAUUAUUCGUCAAAAUUUGUCACAAAAUUCAAUGCAGGGCUUAUAAAUCCGGAUGGAGUGAGUAUAAUUCACUGAUAUUGUAUUUUGUCCAUUACAUGUCUAUUCAUCAUAUUUUUAAUUCUAAAAUCGAAGACAUGAUUUUUUUAUACCUAAGGGCUUCCAUGGCGUGCCAAAAACCAAAUUUGCCAUAUAACUCCAAUUUGGCAUCGAUGCAAAGUUUUAGUUUUCCUGCAGUGUAGAGGAUGCCAAACUUACGCGUAGAUUAGAUCCACAAAAGAAUGAAUUAAUUACUCAUUUUCCUUAUCCCUUCUUCUUUCCCAACCUCACUUUCCCAUCAAAUUCUCGUACCCCAAAUCUACCAGCACCCCACUUCACCGCCUCCGCUCGCGGCCCUGCACCUCCUCCGCUCCUCCGCCACGC
RNAcentral lists this long non-coding RNA (1396 nucleotides) under Brachypodium distachyon (stiff brome). Its description in RNAcentral is "long non-coding RNA (BDIS_LNC005848)". Lineage: Eukaryota; Viridiplantae; Streptophyta; Magnoliopsida; Poales; Poaceae. The record is from RNAcentral.